GAUGAACGCUGGCGGCGUGCCUAAUACAUGCAAGUCGAGCGAACAGACGAGGAGCUUGCUCCUCUGACGUUAGCGGCGGACGGGUGAGUAACACGUGGAUAACCUACCUAUAAGACUGGGAUAACUUCGGGAAACCGGAGCUAAUACCGGAUAAUAUAUUGAACCGCAUGGUUCAAUAGUGAAAGACGGUUUUGCUGUCACUUAUAGAUGGAUCCGCGCCGGAUUAGCUAGUUGGUAAGGUAACGGCUUACCAAGGCAACGAUGCGUAGCCGACCUGAGAGGGUGAUCGGCCACACUGGAACUGAGACACGGUCCAGACUCCUACGGGAGGCAGCAGUAGGGAAUCUUCCGCAAAGGGCGAAAGCCUGACGGAGCAACGCCGCGUGAGUGAUGAAGGUCUUCGGAUCGUAAAGCUCUGUUAUUAGGGAAGAACAAAUGUGUAAGUAACUAUGCACGUAGUGACGGUACCUAAUCAGAAAGCCACGGCUAACUACGUG
Molecule: ribosomal RNA, 497 nt
Filed under: uncultured bacterium
Lineage: Bacteria
Description: partial 16S ribosomal RNA
Rfam family: Bacterial small subunit ribosomal RNA
Source: RNAcentral